This 31-nucleotide small nuclear RNA is filed under the name Cervus elaphus hippelaphus. The record is from RNAcentral. Lineage: Eukaryota; Metazoa; Chordata; Mammalia; Artiodactyla; Cervidae.
GUGCUCGCUUCAGCAGCACAUAUACUACAAU